UGAGGCUNGAAAGCGUGGGUAGCGAACAGGAUUAGAUACCCUGGUAGUNCACGCCGUAAACGAUGAGUGCUAGGUGUUAGGCCCUUUCCGGGGCUUAGUGCCGGAGCUAACGCAAUAAGCACUCCGCCUGGGGAGUACGACCGCAAGGUUGAAACUCAAAGGAAUUGACGGGGGCCCGCACAAGCGGUGGAGCAUGUGGUUUAAUUCGAAGCAACGCGAAGAACCUUACCAGGUCUUGACAUCCCGAUGCUAUUCUUAGAGAUAGGAAGUUACUUCGGUACAUCGGAGACAGGUGGUGCAUGGUUGUCGUCAGCUCGUGUCGUGAGAUGUUGGGUUAAGUCCCGCAACGAGCGCAACCCUUAUUGUUAGUUGCCAUCAUUAAGUUGGGCACUCUAGCGAGACUGCCGGUAAUAAACCGGAGGAAGGUGGGGAUGACGUCAAAUCAUCAUGCCCCUUAUGACCUGGGCUACACACGUGCUACAAUGGUCGGUACAACGAGUUGCGAGCCGGUGACGGCAAGCUAAUCUCUGAAAGCCGAUCUCAGUUCGGAUUGGAGGCUGCAACUCGCCUCCAUGAAGUCGGAAUCGCUAGUAAUCGCGGACCAGCACGCCGCGGUGAAUACGUUCCCGGGCCUUGUACACACCGCCCGUCACACCACGAGAGUUUGUAACACCCGAAGUCGGUGAGGUAACCUUUUAGGGG
Molecule: ribosomal RNA, 702 nt
Filed under: uncultured bacterium
Lineage: Bacteria
Description: bacterial SSU rRNA
Rfam family: Bacterial small subunit ribosomal RNA
Source: RNAcentral